RNAcentral lists this non-coding RNA (27 nucleotides) under Bombyx mori (domestic silkworm). The record is from RNAcentral. Lineage: Eukaryota; Metazoa; Arthropoda; Insecta; Lepidoptera; Bombycidae.
UCCCAGGUAUGCUCGUAUGGACUAGGC